UAGAGCCUCCCUCAGUUUCUGGAUCGUCAAUCGACAGCUGAGAGACUAUUUUUUGCAAUGGUUGACUAAAUAUGGUCAGGGAAGAGAGAGACACAAGACAGCCUGUUUGCCUGGGAGUGCAUGUUUCAAAUGCUUAGCUGCCUAUAAAGCUGUAACAGUUUUGCUUCUGCCCUGAGUGGGAAAUACAGUUAGUCUCUUCUAUAUUGUGCAUGUGAGAGCCCUGACCUCGCGCUAAGAGACUUGACCUCUGAAGAUGGAAAGUAGCUUCAACACAGAUCUGCCUACAGUUAAGCCUGGAAAUUUAACUUCAAGCAAGAAAAGAUGCAGUGCAAUGUCUAAGGAACUAGAAGAAAUCAAAUAUUUGCUGGGGGAGGGGGGCUGCUGCUUGUUUUGAUACUAGAUACAAACCAUAUACCAGCAUGGAAGCCUGAGAGAAGAUCUCACAGAAAGUUGAAGUUCUUAUGGUGGAAUACAACUAUCCACUCCAGGAAAAUACUUUGCAAAGCUACCCAUCAAUGAUCCAACUCUUCAUUCAAACCUGGCCAGCCAGAAUGAACAGCAAGAGGCAACCAAAAAUUGGGAUAAGUGCUUCAAGUGUUCAUGUCAUCACAGAACAAUGAACUGUAAUAGACUUUAAGCCACUCUGCAGGUAAAUUGUAUUGUAAAUCUUAGUAAUAAUAUUAGCUUAUAAACAAGUUUAUUGUAAGGUUAUUUUUCUAAAGAAGGAACAACCUGCAUUUUGAUUAAUAGAAGGACAAGGAAGCAAAAUACUUUGCAGAUUCCUCUGAUAGAUAGCUGUAUACCUGCCCAGAGUACAUACUUCUUUAUGUACCCAUAUGAACAUACAAUGCUAUGGAAUGUAAAGAAGUAUGUAUUUUUGGCAGGCACUGAACAACCAGUAAGAGGAAACUAAAACAGCUGCUGGAAGAAACAGGUCUCCUUCCUGAGUUACUUUCACAAAGUAAAUUAAUUUGGUGAGGGUCAGAUGAUACAUGCUACUGUUGCUGUAACACAUUUUUUGCUUACAAAUUGAAAAGAAUUAAAUGUUAUCCCAAGUCACUUAACAGAGCAAGCUGCUACGAAAGCUCUAUUUUGGUUGCAUAUAAGUUUUGUAUAUAAUCUUGGUGUUUUCAUUUUUUAAAGGCAACACAAACUAAAAAUGCAAAUAUUCAUUAGAACAUACUAGAUACAAAAGCAUAGCUUAUCUGGAAAAAAAUCAAUGGAGACCAAUUCUUCUUAAAAUCUAUUACAUCCACAUUUAGUUUCUUAUUAAUCAGGCUUCCCUUAAUGAUCUAAUUAGAUGCAAGACAUUAUUUUAGCAUCUUAAGCAUGCAGAACUUGCUCUGAUUUCAGUAGUUCUCAAACGUAUGUCUUAAUUGUUAAAUAGUAAUUAACGAAGUGUUAAGAAGCUGCUUGAGGUUAAGAGCUUUUGCUUCAUAACCCAAAACUGAAAAGUUACCAGAAUGUUAAAUAAUGAUAUCACAUAAGUCUGAUAUUUGAAAUUUAAAAUUUGGUCUUCUUCCAAAUCAACAUUGAAGGCUGGCUGAGCUCUUCAAUGAAACAAAAUGCAGUGUCAGGUUUAUGCAUGGAAAGUGACAAUGCAGAGAUUUCUAGGCCACUGCUGCCAGUCAGUGGAUUAAAGCUAUUGAGAGAUUCCUAAACAAAAAACAAAGAACUACAGGUUACUAUUUAGAGACAGUAAUUUGCCAGGUCAGGCUUUAGGCUUUUCUGAAAAAUGUACUUUAAAAACUUUAAAAAGGGAUAAAUAAUUCUGAAUUACAUAAGAACAUUAACCUUAGUAAUGCUCCUUUGACUUGGUUUUAAACUAUGAAAUGACCAAUAAGCUCUAACUGCCAGAACCAUAUGAAAAGUAACAAAAUGGUAACGCUUGAAAUCAACUUGAAAUUAACUUCUAAAAUUAAUCAAAAUACCCCAAGAUAUCCUCCAACUAAAACUGUUCAACACCAAAAUAUCUAGAAGGAUUGACUUGUUUCACCAGCUUAACUGUGUACAGAUAUUACAGCAGUCUCUAAACAUCAGUCCCUUGCAUAUUAUAUCUGCUUGAGACAAACAGGCAAAUUUAACAGAGAUUGAUUUGUUGCUAUAUACUUUAAGUUCUGGGGUCAUUUUGAAUCAGGUGAUGGGGGAGAAGCUCUCAAAUACAAGGGACCUAACAAUGGAUAAAAGUGCUUUAAAAAAUAUGAGUGUGAAUUCUUCAACUGAAAUAUUUUAAUUCCUAUAACGUACCAAAAGUUAAUAGACAAUAUUAUGAAUAAAACUGCCAGCUUUUUAAGAGUUUAACUAAAACUGAAUAAUUAUAUACAUUACAAAGAAGUAUUCUUACAAAUAGUUUUACGUUAAUAUAGUUGUUUUCAUAAAAUACUUUUAAUAAAUUUGUCUGCAAGUUAUUUCUCUUAUAAACAGAUUCUUUGGCAUGCAGUCUCUAUGGAACUAUAACAUGCAUAUUACAAGCUGGUUUAUAAUGGAAACAAACUAAACUAUAGUAGCUCUACUGGGUGUCGUAAUGUUACUUACGUUGGUAGCACCAAAUUGCUUUUAGACUCAUAGCUAAUAGCUUUACUAUUGGAGUAAGAGAGGGUAACAUCAUUUAUUUCUAUGAAGCUGUCCUUCUUUAUGCCUGCAAUAAUCUGGUUUUAAGACUAACUUUCCAAAAGCACACAUUUAGUUUGAAAGGUUUUUUUUAUAAUGAGCCACUGGAUGCAGUAUACUUUCCUGCCUUGUCAGUAUAGCAUUGCAAGGCUAUUCUGAAACAAAAUGACAAUUCUGAAAGUCAUACAAAAGUUAAAAUUAUGUUGAUAUUGCUUCUUGCUAGUUCUCGUUAAUAUCUGUCUAAGAAUAUAUACCCAGUCAUUCUAAAAUGUCACAUCCAUCACUUAGAUCAGCUGUUCAAUUUUAACUGAGCACACAUUGAACUCUGGGCAUCUGCUGACACAGUUGUAACUCAAACAUUUUGACUGUGUGACUGACAGGGAUAACAGAUGCUGACAUUAUCAAAUGCUACACUACUUUUUUCCAUGGCCAUUUUUUGCCCCGAUAUGGCCAGUACACUAAACUGUAUUGCCAUCCAAAAGCACACUUGAGCAGCUGGAUCUGUAAAACAGUUCCUGUAUAACCGGUAAAAAUAGCAACCAGUUUUAUGGCAGUCUUUACUGCUUAAGUCCAAGUGGCACACCUGCUAUGUUUCUAUUAGGAUACAUGGUGUAAAGAAUAUAUUUACAUAAAUCUCAUCACCAACAUCAGACAUCACAAACAGAUGCACACUAUACUUGACACAGUGCAUUAUUAGGGCAUAGUUUGAAUUGAUGCAGCUCUCCCACCCCCUUGCAAAAGUACAACAGGUCUUUCAAAUACAAGCAUCACCUGUUCAUCUACCACCACUAAUCAGCACCUUGCAAGACAAUGCCUACAUCAUAAGCACAUUUACAGAGCCUUUUAUAAGUUGUGCUAAGGACCUUCAUCUAGCAGAAGCCAGAGGCAUUGCUUUAGCUGUUUUUUGUUUGCUUGCAUUAGGAGUUUGUACACAAAGAGAAACAUGUAAAAAAAAUCUCCUUGUGUUACACUAAAACGUCGGAAUUUCUAAAGGAUAUCCUGACCAGGGAUAUGCU
Molecule: long non-coding RNA, 3626 nt
Organism: Gavialis gangeticus (Gharial)
Lineage: Eukaryota; Metazoa; Chordata; Crocodylia; Gavialidae
Exons: 2
Source: RefSeq, a predicted model, not a curated record